This 492-nucleotide ribosomal RNA is filed under the name uncultured bacterium. RNAcentral describes it as "partial 16S ribosomal RNA". It matches the Rfam family "Bacterial small subunit ribosomal RNA", at positions 29 to 507 of the family's 1533-position model. The record is from RNAcentral.
AGUGAACGCUGGCGGUAGGCCUAACACAUGCAAGUCGAACGGCAGCACAGUAAGAGCUUGCUCUUACGGGUGGCGAGUGGCGGACGGGUGAGGAAUACAUCGGAAUCUACUUUUUCGUGGGGGAUAACGUAGGGAAACUUACGCUAAUACCGCAUACGACCUACGGGUGAAAGCAGGGGAUCUUCGGACCUUGCGCGAUUGGAUGAGCCGAUGUCGGAUUAGCUAGUUGGCGGGGUAAAGGCCCACCAAGGCGACGAUCCGUAGCUGGUCUGAGAGGAUGAUCAGCCACACUGGAACUGAGACACGGUCCAGACUCCUACGGGAGGCAGCAGUGGGGAAUAUUGGACAAUGGGCGCAAGCCUGAUCCAGCCAUACCGCGUGGAUGAAGAAGGCCUUCGGGUUGUAAAGCCCUUUUGUUGGGAAAGAAAAGCAGCAGGUUAAUACCCCGCUGUUCUGACGGUACCCAAAGAAUAAGCACCGGCUAACUUCGUG